GAACUUGUGUUAGAUAUACGAAUUUAUGGGUCAUUAACAUAGAGGUUAUAUAUAAAGCCAGAGAGUCACUGAUAGAGAGUGGAAGAGAACAAGGACUGACUAACCUGCAGCACUUCAAAUGUAAAAGUGCAGAAAAGAAGCGUAACUAAGAAAAGAGAUUGAGAAGGAAUGACCUGUGAUUCAGGAAAAAAAAAAUUACAGAUGUGUUGAGCUAGAAUCAAGAAUAGAAAAUGUUUCCAGGAGAGGGGAGAGAACUACGUGUCAGAUCUACUGAAAGCUCCAAUAAAAAGGAAACUAAUUGAUCAUUCGGUUUAAUGAUGUGGAGGUCAGUGGCAACUGAGUUCAUUUUGGUUCCCAUAGCAGCAGAUUCUAAACAAGAAUUUGAGAGGAAGGAGCUUGUUUGAGAGGUGUAGGAACAGCAAUAGUAGAUUCAAAAAAUGAUAUAAGGAAGGCAGCCCAUAAGUGUAUGUCAUUAAGCCAUAGUUGACAACUGGAGCUUAUUCCUACAAGACUCUAAGAAAUGGCAUAAAACACAAUUCAGAGUUGUUCCACACAAAGAGCAAGGGAGAGCCGUGAUCAGCUGCCAAAACAAAGGAAUAGAAAUGGAAGAGUUAGAGGCAGUGUUAUGCUAGAGCUGUCCCUUAGCGAGCUGAUUUUAAAGCUUGAAAUCGGCCAUGGAUGAAUUCUUGGCCUGAAAAAGGGGAAUCAAAAGACGUGCUUUCCUGUGCUUCAGCUGCAAUGUCUAUUUCUCAAGACGCUGAAAAAGAUGAUUUAGAGUUUUAUGAUUAAUGGAAGGGAGGAAUCUACUCUAAAGAAAUUGGAUAAUACUAUAAAUAAGAAAUAAAAAUUAUUUGACAAAAGCU
RNAcentral lists this long non-coding RNA (863 nucleotides) under Homo sapiens (human). RNAcentral describes it as "HSALNT0322601". The record is from RNAcentral. Lineage: Eukaryota; Metazoa; Chordata; Mammalia; Primates; Hominidae.